This is a non-coding RNA of Myotis brandtii (Brandt's bat), 87 nucleotides long. The record is from Rfam. NCBI's taxonomy places the organism in Eukaryota, Metazoa, Chordata, Mammalia, Chiroptera, Vespertilionidae.
AAAGGCCUGCCGCGGCUGGGGUGGAAUGCUUGCCUCGUCACCACAACGAUGAAGCAAGCAUUCCGCCAGGCCGCUCACGCUGCCCGC